This 426-nucleotide ribosomal RNA is filed under the name uncultured bacterium. RNAcentral's name for it is "bacterial SSU rRNA". It matches the Rfam family "Bacterial small subunit ribosomal RNA", at positions 355 to 774 of the family's 1533-position model. The record is from RNAcentral.
UCGAGAAUUUUUCUCAAUGGGGGAAACCCUGAAGGAGCGACGCCGCGUGGAGGAUGAAGGUCUUCGGAUUGUAAACUCCUGUCAUUUGAGAACAAGUGUGGCCGAGUAACUACCGGUCACUUGAUAGUAUCAGAAGAGGAAGAGACGGCUAACUCUGUGCCAGCAGCCGCGGUAAUACAGAGGUCUCAAGCGUUGUUCGGAUUCAUUGGGCGUAAAGGGAGCGUAGGCGGUCGGGUAAGUGGGAUGUGAAAUCCUGGGGCUCAACCUCAGAACUGCAUUCCAUACUGCUUGGCUAGAGUACUGGAGAGGUGAGUGGAAUUCACGGUGUAGCAGUGAAAUGCGUAGAUAUCGUGAGGAAGACCAGCGGCGAAGGCGGCUCACUGGACAGUUACUGACGCUGAUGCUCGAAGGCCAGGGGAGCAAACG